Molecule: long non-coding RNA, 877 nt
Filed under: Homo sapiens (human)
Lineage: Eukaryota; Metazoa; Chordata; Mammalia; Primates; Hominidae
Description: HSALNT0010167
Source: RNAcentral
CUAGAUUACACACUGGGUCUUUCCAGGGGAAUGAAGGCUUUGGCUGACAGCAGAAAGCAGGUUUCAACACACAUGGGAACAAGAUAUAUUCAUGGAAUGUGCCUUUGAACCUGCAUUCAAAAGAACUCAGACAGAGUUCCAACCAAAGAGAGCAGUUUCAAACAGCCUGUGAAAUCCAAGUAGAUUUCUACCAUACAGAAGUCUAUUUCCUGAUGGAUUCUCUACCCUUUUUCCUGAAUGAUGGACAAAGAGUGAUACGUGUUAUGGAUGGAAGAUAGUGGCCAGCUCAGGAUUGAGUGUCUUCAGAAAUUAUGUCCAAAUGAAUCAUGGACUGAACCCAUUUUGUUAUACUAAAAUUUCCUUUGUGCACUAGAGGUCAUAAAAAUGUUUCACUGCCAAAUCUAGACCACUUUAUCCUCCAAUGAAAUUAUGAUUUCUAAAGCACAAAAUCUAAGAAAAACUCACAUUGGGUAGCAAGCAAGGCCAGCCAGUUCAUCAAUAGCCAGGCAUAAAAGUCUACAUGUUUCAUUUUGCCAAUAAGCUUGUCUGCUUCAUCUGGUGCCAACAACUCAAUCCUCUGAACAUCACAUAUUGAAUAAAGGAACCUUUUCAAAUCUACGGAAUACUUCAGUUCUCAUCUUUCUAAUGUAUCAUCUGAUACAAGGGUUCAUUCUAUCCUUCUAGAGUUAAUAAAUGAUUACUGUACCAAGUCUGAUAUUCUGGAGGUGCUGAAGUAAAAACUGCCCCAAACGUCCCCUCAGGACAGUGGUUAUUUUUUAAAACAAAUUUACUGUGUAUCCUGGAGUUUCUAGAAGUUCACUUAUGCAGAAAACUGAAUACAACAUUCACCACUGAGGUUUUAACUUUCCAUUCUUUG